GUCCCUACGAGACGCAGCAGUGAGGAAUAUUGGUCAAUGGCCGAGAGGCUGAACCAGCCAAGUCGCGUGAGGGAUGACGGCCCUACGGGUUGUAAACCUCUUUUGCCGGGGAGCAAAGAGCGGGACGCGUCCCGCCUCGAGAGUACCCGGAGAAAAAGCAUCGGCUAACUCCGUGCCAGCAGCCGCGGUAAUACGGAGGAUGCGAGCGUUAUCCGGAUUUAUUGGGUUUAAAGGGUGCGCAGGCGGAAGCGCAAGUCAGCGGUAAAAUUGAGAGGCUCAACCUAUUGCCGCCGUGGAAACUGCAU
This 305-nucleotide ribosomal RNA is filed under the name uncultured bacterium. RNAcentral's name for it is "bacterial SSU rRNA". It matches the Rfam family "Bacterial small subunit ribosomal RNA", at positions 335 to 638 of the family's 1533-position model. The record is from RNAcentral.